RNAcentral lists this ribosomal RNA (253 nucleotides) under uncultured bacterium. RNAcentral's name for it is "partial 16S ribosomal RNA". It matches the Rfam family "Bacterial small subunit ribosomal RNA", at positions 524 to 776 of the family's 1533-position model. The record is from RNAcentral.
UACGAAGGGGGCUAGCGUUGCUCGGAAUCACUGGGCGUAAAGCGCACGUAGGCGGAUUGUUAAGUCAGGGGUGAAAUCCUGGAGCUCAACUCCAGAACUGCCUUUGAUACUGUCGAUCUCGAGUCCGGGAGAGGUGAGUGGAACUGCGAGUGUAGAGGUGAAAUUCGUAGAUAUUCGCAAGAACACCAGUGGCGAAGGCGGCUCACUGGCCCGGUACUGACGCUGAGGUGCGAAAGCGUGGGGAGCAAACAGG